This 817-nucleotide long non-coding RNA is filed under the name Anser brachyrhynchus (Pink-footed goose). Its description in RNAcentral is "lncRNA (ENSABRG00000020360.1)". The record is from RNAcentral. Lineage: Eukaryota; Metazoa; Chordata; Aves; Anseriformes; Anatidae.
CGAAAAUGGAAGUGACACUGUCAGCAGUGUGACCCUCACAGCUGUGCAUCCACUGGGACCCAGAAGAAAUUGCCUUUAAAUGCCGAUAGGAAAUGCCAUAGGAAUCUGGUCAGCAGAGCAUCAUGUUUGCGCUCUGAUUUGGCACUCUUCAGUCCAGCACAGAGAGAGCACUACUGGCUGCUGACACCAGAAAAAACAAGGGGUUUUCAAGGCUGCAGUGUUAAGAAAGAAACUGUCCUCCACUCAUCAGGAGAAGAGAGUUCAGUGGAUAUGAGCUGCCCACACUGGCUGGCGAUCUGCUGGGAAGGAACACUUCUCGGAGAGUUUCACUAUGAAAGCCGUCAGUUCUCCUGACUUGGUAAGAACAGUUUUUUCCCAUGUGAUACUUAUCCUAUUGAUUUUAAUAGAAACACACUUUUAUUGCACUUGGAGAUAUGCAAAAUGCAUCUAAAGUGCAGUGAAUUUGCUCAGUCUUGGCAUCUUCAUUCUCAAGAGCCUUUUCAAAAUGUAAAUUAGAGACAAAGACUACAGAAAGAGAAAUUUUAGAGCACAUGCUAAUUGCAGAAAUCUGAGAUGGUUUCUCUGAAUGGUAGGUUGUCAGUCAGGCUUGAAUUAAUGUGAGCUCUAAGGAUUUGUAUUGCUCGCUUAGAGUAGCUCAAGAGGAAACAUGAACCUUUGCACUCAGAGGGACUGCAGAGCUAACUCCCAACUCGAUCCUCUUGCUCCCAAAGCUCUUUUAGUUAUUGUGAUCUUGUUAUCAUAAUUCAGCAACUUUAAAAAUGAAUCCUAUGCAGAUCAGUUAGUCAGGAAGUGAAAA